GAUGAACGCUGGCGGCGUGCCUAAUACAUGCAAGUCGAGCGAACGGACGAGAAGCUUGCUUUUCUGAUGUUAGCGGCGGACGGGUGAGUAACACGUGGAUAACCUACCUAUAAGACUGGGAUAACUUCGGGAAACCGGAGCUAAUACCAGAUAAUAUUUUGAACCGCAUGGUUCAAAAGUGAAAGACGGUCUUGCUGUCACUUAUAGAUGGAUCCGCGCUGCAUUAGCUAGUUGGUAAGGUAACGGCUUACCAAGGCAACGAUGCAUAGCCGACCUGAGAGGGUGAUCGGCCACACUGGAAGUGAGACACGGUCCAGACUCCUACGGGAGGCAGCAGUAGGGAAUCUUCCGCAAUGGGCGAAAGCCUGACGGAGCAACGCCGAGUGAGUGAUGAAGGUCUUCGGAUCGUAAAACUCUGUUAUUAGGGAAGAACAGAUGUGUAAGUAACUGUGCACAUCUUGACGGUACCUAAUCAGAAAGCCACGGCUAACUACGUG
RNAcentral lists this ribosomal RNA (497 nucleotides) under uncultured bacterium. Its description in RNAcentral is "partial 16S ribosomal RNA". It matches the Rfam family "Bacterial small subunit ribosomal RNA", at positions 28 to 507 of the family's 1533-position model. The record is from RNAcentral.